RNAcentral lists this ribosomal RNA (502 nucleotides) under uncultured bacterium. Its description in RNAcentral is "partial 16S ribosomal RNA". It matches the Rfam family "Bacterial small subunit ribosomal RNA", at positions 29 to 523 of the family's 1533-position model. The record is from RNAcentral.
AUUGAACGCUAGCGGCAUGCCUUACACAUGCAAGUCGAACGGCAGCGGGGGAGCUUGCUCCCGCCGGCGAGUGGCGAACGGGUGAGUAAUACAUCGGAACGUACCCAGUAGCGGGGGAUAGCCCGGCGAAAGCCGGAUUAAUACCGCAUACGCCCUACGGGGGAAAGGGGGGGAUCGCAAGACCUCUCACUAUUGGAGCGGCCGAUGGCUGAUUAGCUAGUUGGUGGGGUAAAGGCCUACCAAGGCGACGAUCAGUAGCUGGUCUGAGAGGACGGCCAGCCACACGGGGACUGAGACACGGCCCAGACUCCUACGGGAGGCAGCAGUGGGGAAUUUUGGACAAUGGGCGAAAGCCUGAUCCAGCAAUGCCGCGUGUGCGAAGAAGGCCUUCGGGUUGCAAAGCACUUUUGUCAGGGAGGAAAUCGUUUGGGUUGAUACCCCGAGCAGUUGACGGUACCUGAAGAAUAAGCACCGGCUAACUACGUGCCAGCAGCCGCCGUAA